This 310-nucleotide ribosomal RNA is filed under the name Salmonella enterica subsp. enterica serovar Cerro. RNAcentral describes it as "partial 23S ribosomal RNA". It matches the Rfam family "Bacterial large subunit ribosomal RNA", at positions 1088 to 1397 of the family's 2925-position model. Lineage: Bacteria; Pseudomonadati; Pseudomonadota; Gammaproteobacteria; Enterobacterales; Enterobacteriaceae. The record is from RNAcentral.
GACAGCCAGGAUGUUGGCUUAGAAGCAGCCAUCAUUUAAAGAAAGCGUAAUAGCUCACUGGUCGAGUCGGCCUGCGCGGAAGAUGUAACGGGGCUAAACCAUGCACCGAAGCUGCGGCAGCGACACUAUGUGUUGUUGGGUAGGGGAGCGUUCUGUAAGCCUGUGAAGGUGUGCUGUGAGGCAUGCUGGAGGUAUCAGAAGUGCGAAUGCUGACAUAAGUAACGAUAAAGCGGGUGAAAAGCCCGCUCGCCGGAAGACCAAGGGUUCCUGUCCAACGUUAAUCGGGGCAGGGUGAGUCGACCCCUAAGGC